AUAUCAAUAAGCGGAGGAAAAGAAACCAACAGGGAUUGCCUCAGUAACGGCGAGUGAAGCGGCAACAGCUCAGAUUUGAAAUCCGGCCCUAGGCCCGAGUUGUAAUCUGUAGAGGAUGCUUUUGGUUAGGUGCCUUCCGAGUUCCCUGGAACGGGACGCCACAGAGGGUGAGAGUCCCGCAUGUGACUGGUAGCUUUCGCCCGUGUAAAGCUCUUUCGACGAGUCGAGUUGUUUGGGAAUGCAGCUCAAAAUGGGUGGUAAAUACCAUCUAAAGCUAAAUAUUGGCGAGAGACCGAUAGCGCACAAGUA
RNAcentral lists this ribosomal RNA (309 nucleotides) under uncultured eukaryote. RNAcentral's name for it is "partial large subunit ribosomal RNA". It matches the Rfam family "Eukaryotic large subunit ribosomal RNA", at positions 40 to 350 of the family's 3401-position model. The record is from RNAcentral.